RNAcentral lists this ribosomal RNA (465 nucleotides) under Bactrocera opiliae. RNAcentral describes it as "partial large subunit ribosomal RNA". The record is from RNAcentral. Lineage: Eukaryota; Metazoa; Arthropoda; Insecta; Diptera; Tephritidae.
CCUGUUUAACAAAAACAUGUCUUUUUGAGUUAUUUUUAAAGUCUGACCUGCCCACUGAAGUUAUUUAAAUGGCCGCAGUAUUCUAACUGUGCAAAGGUAGCAUAAUCAUUAGUCUUYUAAUUGAAGGCUGGUAUGAACGGUUGGACGAGGUAUAAGCUGUUUCAUAUAAAUUUAUAAUAGAAUUUUAUAUUUUAGUCAAAAAGCUAAAAUUUAAUUAAAAGACGAGAAGACCCUAUAAAUCUUUAUACUUUAUAUUGUUUAAAUUUUUUAGAUUAAUUUUAUUUUUAUAAUYUAAAGUAUUUUGUUGGGGUGAUAUUAAAAUUUAAUGAACUUYUAAUUAUUUAAAAUCAUUAAUUUAUGAGUUAUUGAUCCACUAGUAGUGAUUAUAAGAUUAAGUUACUUUAGGGAUAACAGCGUAAUUUUYUUGGAGAGUUCAUAUCGAUAAAAAAGUUUGCGACCUCGAUG